GUGACUGCGUACCUUUUGUAUAAUGGGUCAGCGACUUAUAUUCUGUAGCAAGGUUAACCGUAUAGGGGAGCCGGAGGGAAACCGAGUCUUAAUUGGGCGUUAAGUUGCAGGGUAUAGACCCGAAACCCGGUGAUCUAGCCAUGGGCAGGUUGAAGGUUGGGUAACACUAACUGGAGGACCGAACCGACUAAUGUUGAAAAAUUAGCGGAUGACCUGUGGCUGGGGGUGAAAGGCCAAUCAAACCGGGAGAUAGCUGGUUCUCCCCGAAAGCUAUUUAGGUAGCGCCUCGUGAAUUCAUCUCCGGGGGUAGAGCACUGUUUCGGCUAGGGGGCCAUCCCGGCUUACCAACCCGAUGCAAACUGCGAAUACCGGAGAAUGUUAUCACGGGAGACACACGGCGGGUGCUAACGUCCGUCGUGAAGAGGGAAACAACCCAGACCGCCAGCUAAGGUCCCAAAGUCAUGGUUAAGUGGGAAACGAUGUGGGAAGGCCCAGACAGCCAGGAUGUUGGCUUAGAAGCAGCCAUCAUUUAAAGAAAGCGUAAUAGCUCACUGGUCGAGUCGGCCUGCGCGGAAGAUGUAACGGGGCUAAACCAUGCACCGAAGCUGCGGCAGCGAACGUAUCACCCAAGACAACUUUACGGAGUUGACGAUUGACGGAGCGAAGCGACGUCAAAGCGUUCAUUAAAGUCGAGUUGGCUUAGGGAUACGUUCGUUGGGUAGGGGAGCGUUCUGUAAGCCUGUGAAGGUGUGUCGUGAGGCAUGCUGGAGGUAUCAGAAGUGCGAAUGCUGACAUAAGUAACGAUAAAGCGGGUGAAAAGCCCGCUCGCCGGAAGACCAAGGGUUCCUGUCCAACGUUAAUCGGGGCAGGGUGAGUCGACCCCUAAGGCGAGGCCGAAAGGCGUAGUCGAUGGGAAACGGGUUAAUAUUCCCGUACUUGGUGUUACUGCGAAGGGGGGACGGAGAAGGCUAUGUUGGCCGGGCGACGGUUGUCCCGGUUUAAGCGUGUAGGUGUGUGUUCCAGGUAAAUCCGGUUCACUUUAACACUGAGGCGUGACGACGAGGCACUACGGUGCUGAAGCAACAAAUGCCCUGCUUCCAGGAAAAGCCUCUAAGCAUCAGGUAACAUCAAAUCGUACCCCAAACCGACACAGGUGGUCAGGUAGAGAAUACCAAGGCGCUUGAGAGAACUCGGGUGAAGGAACUAGGCAAAAUGGUGCCGUAACUUCGGGAGAAGGCACGCUGACACGUAGGUGAAGUGAUUUACUCAUGGAGCUGAAGUCAGUCGAAGAUACCAGCUGGCUGCAACUGUUUAUUAAAAACACAGCACUGUGCAAACACGAAAGUGGACGUAUACGGUGUGACGCCUGCCCGGUGCCGGAAGGUUAAUUGAUGGGGUCAGCGCAAGCGAAGCUCCUGAUCGAAGCCCCGGUAAACGGCGGCCGUAACUAUAACGGUCCUAAGGUAGCGAAAUUCCUUGUCGGGUAAGUUCCGACCUGCACGAAUGGCGUAAUGAUGGCCAGGCUGUCUCCACCCGAGACUCAGUGAAAUUGAACUCGCUGUGAAGAUGCAGUGUACCCGCGGCAAGACGGAAAGACCCCGUGAACCUUUACUAUAGCUUGACACUGAACAUUGAGCCUUGAUGUGUAGGAUAGGUGGGAGGCUUUGAAGUGUGGACGCCAGUCUGCAUGGAGCCGACCUUGAAAUACCACCCUUUAAUGUUUGAUGUUCUAACGUGGACCCGUAAUCCGGGUUGCGGACAGUGUCUGGUGGGUAGUUUGACUGGGGCGGUCUCCUCCUAAAGAGUAACGGAGGAGCACGAAGGUUGGCUAAUCCUGGUCGGACAUCAGGAGGUUAGUGCAAUGGCAUAAGCCAGCUUGACUGCGAGCGUGACGGCGCGAGCAGGUGCGAAAGCAGGUCAUAGUGAUCCGGUGGUUCUGAAUGGAAGGGCCAUCGCUCAACGGAUAAAAGGUACUCCGGGGAUAACAGGCUGAUACCGCCCAAGAGUUCAUAUCGACGGCGGUGUUUGGCACCUCGAUGUCGGCUCAUCACAUCCUGGGGCUGAAGUAGGUCCCAAGGGUAUGGCUGUUCGCCAUUUAAAGUGGUACGCGAGCUGGGUUUAGAACGUCGUGAGACAGUUCGGUCCCUAUCUGCCGUGGGCGCUGGAGAACUGAGGGGGGCUGCUCCUAGUACGAGAGGACCGGAGUGGACGCAUCACUGGUGUUCGGGUUGUCAUGCCAAUGGCACUGCCCGGUAGCUAAAUGCGGAAGAGAUAAGUGCUGAAAGCAUCUAAGCACGAAACUUGCCCCGAGAUGAGUUCUCCCUGAGACUUAGAGUCUCCUGAAGGAACGUUGAAGACGACGACGUUGAUAGGCCGGGUGUGUAAGCGCAGCGAUGCGUUGAGCUAACCGGUACUAAUGAACCGUGAGGCUUAACCUUACAACGCCGAAG
RNAcentral lists this ribosomal RNA (2450 nucleotides) under Salmonella enterica subsp. enterica serovar Typhimurium. Its description in RNAcentral is "bacterial LSU rRNA". It matches the Rfam family "Bacterial large subunit ribosomal RNA", at positions 593 to 2925 of the family's 2925-position model. The record is from RNAcentral. Lineage: Bacteria; Pseudomonadati; Pseudomonadota; Gammaproteobacteria; Enterobacterales; Enterobacteriaceae. RNAcentral also lists the same sequence under 1 other name.